Molecule: non-coding RNA, 1328 nt
Organism: Aegilops tauschii subsp. strangulata
Lineage: Eukaryota; Viridiplantae; Streptophyta; Magnoliopsida; Poales; Poaceae
Source: RefSeq, a predicted model, not a curated record
UUGUUUCACGGCAGCCCUCUUUUCCAUGGUGCAUCAGUGCCCUAUUGCUGUAUGAUUAAUUGGCUGUCGACGUCGCGGUCGCCUUGAGAUGGACGCUGCGCCGUGUUGGACGCCUGCAGGGGUGAGCCGCUGCCGGGCCGAAUGCCAUCGACGUCGUGCUGCUGGAGGGCAUCGUGGCCGCACUCGCCUGCAGGGCCACAGGUAGCCGGGCCAGACGGCACCGCUGCGUCACGCGUUGCACGCCCAGUAGUGCUUCACCGGAUGGCCUCAGAAGUCAGGGACAGCAGCGACGGGCCGAGGGUGCCGUGCGGAUCUGUGGACCGCGGCCGAGUAGUGCUUCACCGGAUGAUCGCCGCGUUGGUAUGCAGCAGCGGCACCGCGCCCUCUGCCCAGGCAUUCCUUCUGGGCCGUGUUGAUUGUUUCGACUCCGUUGCAUUCAUACUCGAUUUUCAGGCUAGGUGUUGUCUUCCUCGACUUCCGUCGCUCCGGGUUUGCAUCUAGCGCCGUGUUUUCGACCUCUCCGACUGAGCCACACGGUUGCCACCCACAUGCACCCCUCUGGCAUUCCCAGUCCGGCCUCGGUGGUUAACCCGCUGCUCUGCUGCUCUGCGGUUAACCUGUAAAAACCUGUACAAUGUGCCUGUACGUGUAGCAUUUUUGUUGCCGGAUUCUAUUCUCUCUGGUUCCCUCACGGCUGCGCUUCUUUCUCUGUCGCGGCAAGAGUCGUUGUUCAGGGAUGUUACAUGGAUCUGGGUGCCGGAGCAGGUCGGGGAAUGGAGGCCUGUGAUGGACGUCGUGCAUGCAAAGGGCGGGCAGCAGCCAGUAGGUUAGCCCGCUUCGACGGCUGACAUCGACGAGGAGGCAGGGCUCUGAGGAGAUGUCCAACGUCAUUGACAGGUUCAGACGCGCCGACUAGAGCGUCGUCGAAGCCCGCCUUGACGGUGUGAAGAUUCUUGGUGCCAAUGGCUACUUCCUGGAUGAUGAACACGAUCGCAAAGAAGCCAGGCGGCCGGUGGAGGUUCGCUGGAGGUGAUGGAUGCCAGCUGGUGCAUGCGUCAAGGACGUGGUCACCAGGUGGGCAUGCGGCUGCAGCAGUAUAGUUCACGACCGAGCCCUCCACAUAAGCACGCGCUGGUGCUACACGUCGUGAGCCUUCUCAACGGCCACGGCGUGAUCUAUUUUAGUUUGCCUAACUUUAUUGUAAUGGGGAUGAAUCUAUUUUAUAAUUGGGUGCAUAAGCUACAUCUUUGCCCUACUAAAUAUGUCAUGUAUUUCAUGAUAUAUAUGUGAUAUAUAUGGGCUCGCUCUCGGUGAGACGAGGCCGGUAA